GCAGAUAUCUUGGCGGCCCCUGCCUCUUCGGUGGCAUCUGAGUCCGCCUUCAGCACAGGGAAGAGAGUCCUCUCAGAUUUUCGAAGUCGAAUGACCCCAACGACACUUGAAGCUCUUGUUUGCCUACAAGAUUGGAUAAGAGCCACAGGUUCAGCCAUACGACACAAUUUUUUUCUUUGUUUCUUAUUAAUGCAAAUUCAUGAAUCUUUUAUAUUUAUUUGUCUGCAGCUAAUACUCGGCUUAGCUUGGCUUCAGUUCAUGACAUUAUACUGGACUUGCAAGGUAUUUGACAUGUCUUUGUCUUAUUAUGCUUCUUAUUGUAAGUGGGGAGGCGAUGGUCGAGCGAGAGAGCUGGGACACUGCUCGCUGCUCUGCUUCUUAUUCUGCUUGCUACCGCUGGGCUUGUUGCUCUGCUUCUUAUUCCUAGUGUUGCAAUCUGUACUGAGAUUAUUGUAGUGUAUUGUUUUGGUGUAUUAUUCCAUCCUAGUGUUGCAAUGUGCUUUGUUUUGUUGUACAUGGAUUAUUGUUUUGUUGUUUUGGUAGAGUAGCCUGAAAAUUGUCAAGAUCAUGGACUGGAAACAUUGUGUAGUUGCUCUGCCUCUCAUAAACUCUAAACUGUAGUUGAUGUUGCAGAUUAUAUAUGGAACUGCUAGUAAUAACUGAAGCAGAUUAUUGCUGUUGCUGGAUAUAUGGAACUGCUAGUAAUAACUGGGCUUGUUGCUGUUGCAGAUUAUGAAUGUGUUUUUCUUUCAAAUAACUGAAGCCAUAAUGCAAAGUUCUAUUGUACUAUACCUGACAAGCAAAACCUACAGGAGUUGACAUGAAUUUGCUUGAUUUCAGUCUUUGUUUUCAAUUUCUGCUCAUAAAUUUGCACAUAAUUACUCUUGUAACUUUUCCUUGUAAAUACAGACAAUGAGGACUGAAGCUUUUUGCCGCAAUUGAUGUUAACCUCCAGUAGAUGAUGAAGCAAAAAGAUGUCAACUUUCUUUAUAAUUUGCUGAAGUUUCGAAAUGUAAUGGCUGCUCCUUGAAAGAUGUAGCUAGAUGCUCAUAAAACCUGUAAUAUCGUCAACAAAUGUGAUUGUCUUGUACUGGCUGUAAAAAGAGUUGAAAUGGACUGAUGCUUGCUUGGUAACUUGUAUUUAUUUCGUAUUAUCAUGCCUGCUUAGGUAAUUAUUUGUUGUCUUGUUAUAAUAUCAGUUAGAAAAUGUUCUCUGUGUAUACCUAGCUAAAAAACUGUGGAACUAUUACUGAUUUUUGGGUCGGCCCUGGUGUUCCCAAUGGGCCAACAAGGCCACACGAUUUUCUUAGAAUGGGUCGACCCAUGGCCCCUGAAAUUGGCUUUGAGGCCACGGGGCCAGGUCCAAGGC
Molecule: long non-coding RNA, 1369 nt
Filed under: Hordeum vulgare
Lineage: Eukaryota; Viridiplantae; Streptophyta; Magnoliopsida; Poales; Poaceae
Description: long non-coding RNA (HVUL_LNC000373)
Source: RNAcentral